Molecule: microRNA, 25 nt
Filed under: Equus caballus (horse)
Lineage: Eukaryota; Metazoa; Chordata; Mammalia; Perissodactyla; Equidae
Description: eca-miR-9098
Source: miRBase by way of RNAcentral
UGACCUUGGUCGGGACGUAGUGAAC